AGCAGCCGCGGUAAUUCCAGCUCCAAUAGCGUAUAUUAAAGUUGUUGCAGUUAAAAAGCUCGUAGUUGAAUUUCGGGAUCAAAGGAUCGGUCAUGCCUUGGUAUGUACUGGUUUUAUUGGUUCUCACCUUCUAAAGAACCAUAAUGUCAUUCAUUUGAUGUUAUGGGGAAUUAGGACUGUUACCUUGAAAAAUUAGAGUGUUUAAAGCAGGCUUACGCUUGAAUACAUUAGCAUGGAAUAAUGAAAUAGGACAUCAGAUUCUAUUUUGUUGGUUUCUAGGAUCGAUGUAAUGAUUAAUAGGGAUAGUUGGGGGCAUUAGUAUUCAAUUGUCAGAGGUGAAAUUCUUGGAUUUAUUGAAGACUAACUACUGCGAAAGCAUUUGCCAAGGAUGUUUUCAUUAAUCAAGAACGAAAGUUAGGGGAUCGAAGACGAUCAGAUACCGUCGUAGUCUUAAACCAUAAACUAUGCCGACUAGGGAUCGGAUGAUGUUAAUUUUAUAAUGACUCUA
Molecule: unclassified non-coding RNA, 508 nt
Filed under: uncultured Glomus
Lineage: Eukaryota; Fungi; Glomeromycota; Glomeromycetes; Glomerales; Glomeraceae
Description: SSU rRNA
Rfam family: Eukaryotic small subunit ribosomal RNA
Source: RNAcentral